This 227-nucleotide long non-coding RNA is filed under the name Solanum tuberosum (potato). Its description in RNAcentral is "long non-coding RNA (STUB_LNC007063)". Lineage: Eukaryota; Viridiplantae; Streptophyta; Magnoliopsida; Solanales; Solanaceae. The record is from RNAcentral.
UAUAGUGUCAGGUCAUGAACACUAUAUAUGUACUAGUUUGUUUGUUUUCUAUUUCAAUGUGAUGUUUAUUAAGGUUGGUUAAAAACCACUUAAUUGAAUGUCCAAUAAGUAUUAUUAGAUCGAUCCAAAUAAUUUUACUUUUGAUAUCAUCUUUAUAUGUUUUCAUCUUCUUCUUUUUUUCCUGAUAUUCAUAUUAUAGUUAAAAAUAGGCAUAUGAUUAUUCAUAA